AGCCUGUUAGCUCAAUUGGUAGAGUAUUGUGUAUGUAAAUACACAAAAAAAAAAUGUGGGUUCGAAUCCCGCACGGGCUC
This 80-nucleotide transfer RNA is filed under the name Beta vulgaris subsp. vulgaris (sugar beet). It matches the Rfam family "tRNA". From Rfam's summary of the family: Transfer RNA (tRNA) molecules are approximately 80 nucleotides in length. Their secondary structure includes four short double-helical elements and three loops (D, anti-codon, and T loops). Lineage: Eukaryota; Viridiplantae; Streptophyta; Magnoliopsida; Caryophyllales; Amaranthaceae. The record is from Rfam by way of RNAcentral.